CGGGUGAGUAAUGUCUGGGAAACUGCCUGAUGGAGGGGGAUAACUACUGGAAACGGUAGCUAAUACCGCAUAACGUCGCAAGACCAAAGUGGGGGACCUUCGGGCCUCAUGCCAUCAGAUGUGCCCAGAUGGGAUUAGCUAGUAGGUGGGGUAACGGCUCACCUAGGCGACGAUCCCUAGCUGGUCUGAGAGGAUGACCAGCCACACUGGAACUGAGACACGGUCCAGACUCCUACGGGAGGCAGCAGUGGGGAAUAUUGCACAAUGGGCGCAAGCCUGAUGCAGCCAUGCCGCGUGUGUGAAGAAGGCCUUCGGGUUGUAAAGCACUUUCAGCGGGGAGGAAGGCG
Molecule: ribosomal RNA, 347 nt
Filed under: Klebsiella pneumoniae
Lineage: Bacteria; Pseudomonadati; Pseudomonadota; Gammaproteobacteria; Enterobacterales; Enterobacteriaceae
Description: bacterial SSU rRNA
Rfam family: Bacterial small subunit ribosomal RNA
Source: RNAcentral